RNAcentral lists this ribosomal RNA (395 nucleotides) under uncultured bacterium. RNAcentral describes it as "bacterial SSU rRNA". It matches the Rfam family "Bacterial small subunit ribosomal RNA", at positions 505 to 898 of the family's 1533-position model. The record is from RNAcentral.
GUGCCAGCAGCCGCGGUAAUACGGAGGGUGCAAGCGUUGUCCGGAAUCAUUGGGCGUAAAGAGUUCGUAGGCGGUAUGUAAAGUCCGGUGUUAAAUCCCGAAGCUCAACUUCGGCAUGGCACUGGAUACUUGCAAACUAGAAUGCGGUAGAGGUAAAGGGAAUUCCUGGUGUAGCGGUGAAAUGCGUAGAUAUCAGGAGGAACAUCGGUGGCGAAAGCGCUUUACCGGGCCGUUAUUGACGCUGAGGAACGAAAGCCGGGGUAGCAAAUGGGAUUAGAUACCCCAGUAGUCCCGGCCGUAAACGAUGGAUACUAGGUGUUGCGGGUAUCGACCCCUGCAGUGCCGUAGCUAACGCGAUAAGUAUCCCGCCUGGGGAGUACGCACGCAAGUGUGAA